UACGUAGGGGGCAAGCGUUAUCCGGAUUUACUGGGUGUAAAGGGAGCGUAGACGGCAUGGCAAGUCUGAUGUGAAAACCCGGGGCUCAACCCCGGGAUUGCAUUGGAAACUGUCAAGCUAGAGUGCAGGAGAGGUAAGUGGAAUUCCUAGUGUAGCGGUGAAAUGCGUAGAUAUUAGGAGGAACACCAGUGGCGAAGGCGGCUUACUGGACUGUAACUGACGUUGAGGCUCGAAAGCGUGGGGAGCAAAC
RNAcentral lists this ribosomal RNA (250 nucleotides) under uncultured prokaryote. RNAcentral's name for it is "partial 16S ribosomal RNA". It matches the Rfam family "Bacterial small subunit ribosomal RNA", at positions 524 to 773 of the family's 1533-position model. The record is from RNAcentral.